AGAGCGAACGCUGGCGGCAGGCCUAAUACAUGCAAGUCGAACGGAUCCUUCGGGAUUAGUGGCGGACGGGUGAGUAACACGUGGGAACGUGCCCUUUGGUUCAGAACAACUCAGGGAAACUUGAGCUAAUACUGGAUAAGCCCUUCGGGGGAAAGAUUUAUCGCCAUUGGAGCGGCCCGCGUCUGAUUAGCUAGUUGGUAGGGUAAAGGCCUACCAAGGCUACGAUCAGUAGCUGGUCUGAGAGGAUGAUCAGCCACACUGGGACUGAGACACGGCCCAGACUCCUACGGGAGGCAGCAGUGGGGAAUAUUGGACAAUGGGGGCAACCCUGAUCCAGCAAUGCCGCGUGUGUGAAGAAGGUCUUCGGAUUGUAAAGCACUUUCGACGGGGACGAUGAUGACGGUACCCGUAUAAGAAGCCCCGGCUAACUUCGUGCCAGCAGCCGC
This 446-nucleotide ribosomal RNA is filed under the name uncultured bacterium. RNAcentral's name for it is "SSU rRNA". It matches the Rfam family "Bacterial small subunit ribosomal RNA", at positions 26 to 518 of the family's 1533-position model. The record is from RNAcentral.